GUCGGUGGUUUUAGCGGUGGGGAAACGCCCGGUCCCUUUCCGAACCCGGAAGCUAAGCCCUCCAGCGCCGAUGGUACUGCAUGCGGGA
This 88-nucleotide ribosomal RNA is filed under the name Corynebacterium marambiense. The record is from RNAcentral. Lineage: Bacteria; Bacillati; Actinomycetota; Actinomycetes; Mycobacteriales; Corynebacteriaceae.